This 468-nucleotide ribosomal RNA is filed under the name uncultured bacterium. Its description in RNAcentral is "partial 16S ribosomal RNA". It matches the Rfam family "Bacterial small subunit ribosomal RNA", at positions 28 to 507 of the family's 1533-position model. The record is from RNAcentral.
GACGAACGCUGGCGGCGUGCUUGACACAUGCAAGUCGAACGGAAAGGCCCUGCUUUUGUGGGGUGCUCGAGUGGCGAACGGGUGAGUAACACGUGAGUAACCUGCCCUUGACUUUGGGAUAACUUCAGGAAACUGGGGCUAAUACCGGAUAGGAGCUCCUGCUGCAUGGUGGGGGUUGGAAAGUUUCGGCGGUUGGGGAUGGACUCGCGGCUUAUCAGCUUGUUGGUGGGGUAGUGGCUUACCAAGGCUUUGACGGGUAGCCGGCCUGAGAGGGUGACCGGCCACAUUGGGACUGAGAUACGGCCCAGACUCCUACGGGAGGCAGCAGUGGGGAAUAUUGCACAAUGGGCGGAAGCCUGAUGCAGCAACGCCGCGUGCGGGAUGACGGCCUUCGGGUCGUAAACCGCUUUCGCCUGUGACGAAGCGUGAGUGACGGUAAUGGGUAAAGAAGCACCGGCUAACUACGUG